This 442-nucleotide ribosomal RNA is filed under the name uncultured bacterium. Its description in RNAcentral is "partial 16S ribosomal RNA". It matches the Rfam family "Bacterial small subunit ribosomal RNA", at positions 338 to 795 of the family's 1533-position model. The record is from RNAcentral.
CCUACGGGAGGCAGCAGUAGGGAAUCUUUCACAAUGGGCGAAAGCCUGAUGGAGCAACGCCGCGUGCAGGAUGAAGGCCUUCGGGUUGUAAACUGCUUUUAUAAGCGAGGAAUAUGAUGGUAACUCAUGACUAAGGAUCGGCUAACUACGUGCUAGCAGCCGCGGUCAUAAGUAGGAGGCGAGCAUUAUCCUGAGUAACUGGGGGUAAAAAGUUGCGUAGAUGGGAUAAUAAGUAGCUAGGGAAAUCUGGUGGCUCAACCAUUCAGACUAUUAGCUAAACUAUUGAGCUCGAGACCGUUAGGGGUAAGCGGAAUUUCUAGUGUAGGGGUGAAAUCCGUAGAUAUUAGAAAGAACACCGAUAGCGAAGGCAGGUUACUGGGACGGAUCUGACACUAAGGCACGAAAGCGUAGGGAGCAAACGGGAUUAGAUACCCGAGUAGUC